Rhododendron vialii is the source of this 2105-nucleotide long non-coding RNA. RefSeq lists it as uncharacterized. NCBI's taxonomy places the organism in Eukaryota, Viridiplantae, Streptophyta, Magnoliopsida, Ericales, Ericaceae. The transcript is spliced from 5 exons. The record is from RefSeq and is a predicted model, not a curated record.
GAAGAGUAACGAUCGCCAACCACCACCGAGCCUUCCACCGACGGCGACGACCACCACCGCUACUGGCCCACCACCACCACAGGCGACCACCGGCGCACCCCUCCCCUUUCGCCCACGUCUCUGUUUUUUGCCCCCACACAACACCCACAACCCAGUCGUCGUCGUCGUCCAACACCCACAACCCAAAUCCGUUUCAGUCUACGUUCACGAUUUGUGGUGGGUUUUCCGAUUUCAGUGGGUUUAUUGAGUUGUAUUUGGUCGAGUUGUAUUUGUCGACUGAUUUUCAAACCCUAAAGUCUCGUCUCUUCAGAUUCUUAGCUUAAUAUCGGUUUUGUUGCGCUAUGGUUAUGUAGAAAAGCUGGCUUGAUUCGGAGUUCCUUCAUUUCAAUUUGAUCUCUUCGUAUUUCUGCUCAAGGGAAUUCUCGGCAUAUACUCCUCCGAUGAGGAACACGGAUGGGUGUCAUCAGUUCUCAGUCUUUGCGUUCUGAGCCUCUGUGGUGCAUUUAGUUUCAGCUGCAAAUUAUGUGCCAGCUGAAGAUAUCCUACUUAACUGCGGGGCUUCUUUGCAAGCUAAAGAUACCGAUAAUCGCCAAUGGACUUCAGAUAUUGGGUCAAACAUUUUUUCUGCAGUUGGGAGUUCAUCUGUUUCUACUGUUGCUACCCAAGUCCCUCCGGUUCCUCAAUAUGCCCCUGGGCUUCAUCAAGAUAUGGGAAUUCUACUCCAUGGUCAGGUUUCGUUGACGUUUCAAGGAACAACAAAAGAGCCAUACCAUGUGAACUGAAUAAAGAAAGAUGGACUCAAUGUUAGAGCACAUGUGGAACAUUCAAUGAAUUCAAGAAAAAAAUUUCCCAAGGGCUAAUAUAAGGUAUUACUUCUGGUUUGGCUAACAAGAAAAAAACUUCACUUUGGAAUUACUUCCUAGCAAAUAAACAUUUAUGUCAUUGCAAUUGCGGUCCAUUCAUGGGUGAGCAGAUUAUUUGGGGUAUUGUAUGUUAUGUUGUUUGUCAUGUUCUAUUUCACUCCACCCCUUUCAUUUACAUGUUGAGUAUUUCAUAUUUGAGAAUAGGUUUGAUGGGGGAAAAAACUAAGAUAAUUUUUGGUGAUAGGGCUCCAUUGGAUGGUACAAAUGCUUGGCAUAAUCAUAGUCCUAGAGAGCUUCUUUAGUACUAACUCAUUUAGGGCUCGGCAUAGGAAUGUUAGUAAGGAUAAUUGCACGAUUCAUAUUUGACAAUAGGUCUGAUGGGGGAAAAAAUUAAGAUAAUUUUUGGUGAUAGGGCUCCAUUGGAUGGUACAAAUGCUUGGCAUAAUCAUAGUCCUAGAGAGCUCCUUUAGUACUGACUCAUUUAGGGCUCGGCAUAGGAAUGUUAGUAAGGAUAAUUGCACGAUAGUGCAGAAUUGAACUUGUUUACAAGUUCGAGUAUGUGAGUGCAAUUGCUACUUAUGUUAAAAUUAUUACCAUUGUGCAAGGCAUUAGUCCUGGAUUGAAAUGAUUUUUUUUUAAACUUAAACAUGGUGGUUUAAGGUAGGAGGACAAGAAACGCAUCCAGGGAAAAGAGUUGAACAUCUGCUCUCAUACUUGUAGAAGCUGCAAACAACCAAUAGUUAUUUCAUUUUAUUUGCUUCUCUUUUUCUUGUUCAAUAUUUUUGCUAUUUCCUGGUAUCCCCUCUAUGGAAUGGAUGCUGAUUGUAGUUGUAUGAGUUGAUUUUACAGCGAUUUAGUAGAAUGAAGAAAAUUCUGACCAACCAUCUCGAAUUGGCCUCGAAAGACUUUUUCAUAGACUGAAUUCUGUCGGCAUCAUUACUUUUAAAUUAGGAAAUUUUCGGUCUACCUAAUUUUUGGCUUCCUAAAAUCUUCAACUAAAAAAAGCUAAUAUUGUGAAUGUGAAGGACUACAACUUUGGAAUGAUUAUCUAGGGGGAGUUUUUCCUUUUUCUUUCUUCUAGCCCAUCUUUCCUUGAUUUACAUCAUGUUGCUUGUGCUAUUUGUAAGAAAUUGGUAGAUAAUUAGAAGUAUGUUGAUGUGUGUUGAAUGAGUCUGUCUUUUGUUUUAAAUAUGAGGACUUGAGGAGUCAAUUGUUAAUAUUUUGGCUAUCAGUAUUCUAGAA